UGAGUAACCUGCCCCUGGCUUUGGGAUAACCCUCGGAAACGGGGGCUAAUACCGGGUAUGACAUUCUGCGGCAUCGUGGGGUGUGGAAAGUUUUUCGGCUGGGGAUGGGCUCGCGGCCUAUCAGCUUGUUGGUGGGGUGAUGGCCUACCAAGGCGGCGACGGGUAGCUGGUCUGAGAGGACGACCAGCCACACUGGGACUGAGAUACGGCCCAGACUCCUACGGGAGGCAG
RNAcentral lists this ribosomal RNA (231 nucleotides) under uncultured bacterium. RNAcentral describes it as "partial 16S ribosomal RNA". It matches the Rfam family "Bacterial small subunit ribosomal RNA", at positions 118 to 351 of the family's 1533-position model. The record is from RNAcentral.